Molecule: long non-coding RNA, 2825 nt
Organism: Drosophila sechellia
Lineage: Eukaryota; Metazoa; Arthropoda; Insecta; Diptera; Drosophilidae
Exons: 2
Source: RefSeq, a predicted model, not a curated record
GUAUGUACAUACACUUUACCACGUUUUUAGGAGAAAUAAAUAAGAACAAUAAAACUCAAAAUCAUGACACUUUUUAAUAAAAAAAAUAUCGAUUCAUUUUCUAGUAUUUUCACAAAUAUUGUAAAUGAAAGAGAGAAGGCAAUACUUGUGCCGUUACUUCGCCGACAAAAUGCAAGCUAACGGUUGCCUUGCCAAUGACAGGUGAUGAAGCAAGACAGAGAGGGGGGACAAAAAAAAACGAGACAGAGAAAUAAUGCGGGCUGUAGGCACUUUUAUGCAUUCUCUGUCUAUUUUUUUUCAUUCGUUUUGGGAUAUAUUAAGGGAGAAGAUAAAUGAAAUUGGCACAUACACAAAUAAAGUCAUUGGUGUAGAUGGUGUACAUACAUACGUAUGUAUUGGUCAUAGGUUAAAUACUCAUUUUUGCAUAUUUCGGUUUUUCACAAGUAAAAGAAAAUCAAUGAACUCUAAGUUGCAAUUUUCCCUGGUUUCUUCCCUUUUUUUUUCUUUUUUUUUUAGGAUUUUUCAGCGAUUUUUACUUUUAAAUGGAUGAGUUGUGUUGCACUUUUUUGCGAUUCGUCGCUGAUUUUUCCUCCAUUUGAUUUGUGAAACUUUCACCAGAAACAAGUCAACAACAACUGUGCCAGAGCAAAAUGAUUAAAUUUUUCUACACACUUUUAUGUACCUGUUUUCUCCUUUUUUUUUUUUUUCAUAUGAGUGAGUUAGAGAGUGUUUGUGUGUUUGUCUGUAUAUGCUUUCCCAGGUCUUCGAAAAUUAAAAACCAAAUGCCAGCUGACGUAAUCACACAGCAUAACAAAUAAGAAAACAGAAAAUAAAAGAUUCGGUGUAUAAAACAAAAGUUUUGUGAAUUGGGCGCGCGUGUGUCUCCGUCGUCAAGUUGAGUCAAUCAACAAAUACACACGGACACUACAUAGUCAGAUGUGCACACGAAACGACAGUAAAAUCUCCUCAAAACAAACGCGAGAGUUAUUUCAUCUAUCUAAAAGAAGUAAACACAAUUCCAAAAGAUCUUUUUGAUCUUGUAGAUAGUUUCUAGAUCUACUAUUUCUGUUGUCUUUGAUGUUACAUAAAAUUCAUAAAAUUUGGGCGUCACAAUAAAUACAAUCCCAGGAUUUACUGUAGAUCUAUACGUACAUACAUAUGUAUGUAUGUACAUAAUUGUGAAUUGUUAAGCAGUUGUCGCACAAUCAGAAAAAUAGCAAAGCAAAGUGAGCAAAACAGAGACACUGAUAGAUAAAGAAGAAGAGGUGAAAAAAGAUUGAAAAAAUCACGAACAAACAUAUGAAGGGAUAUGUUAUCGAACACGUUAAAAGGCAAGAUUUAAAAGAAUUUUAUACGAUUUCAAUCAUCUGGGUCAACCGAAAAAGAUAAGAGAAAUUAUUUGAUAAAUAUCGAAAUCUGCUUUUUUCCCUCUACAUUUUCUGCAUACCCCCCUAAUUAGACUUUAAUUCGGCAUUUCCGAUCAGAAAUUCUAUAAAAACGCGUAAUCAAUUAGAAAAAAGAAGACGGAACGAAUGGAAAGCAUAACUAGUUAGAAUGUUUAAAAGCUUUACGAGAUGAAACCAGGCAAAUACCUUAAAUAUGCGACAAGCUUUCGACGUUUAUCUGUUUGCCUUUGCUUGACGUUGGCCUUUUGUUGUUUCCCUUUUGAUAACAAACGGCGAGUAUGACAAAUAAAACAAAAGAAACCUACAAAAAAACAUUGAGAACGAGAAUCAACAAAUUAACAUGCCGCGAAUGUAGAAACACAACAAUGGCGAAAAAAACAUAGAGAACGUCAUGUGGGAGAGGCGAAGAGGUCCAAAAACAAAACAGCACAAUGAAAAGUGGAGAGCAACAGUGUUGCUCAAUAUAAUUAUUUGUGCUACAUUUGGAAUAAAUAUUUAUAAAAUAUGGAUGGAUUUGGAAGCUCAUAUCUUAUGUAGAGCUUUCAAAUAAAAAUUAUAUCGAUCUGGCGGGGAAAACCGUUGAACUGACAGCACUGUUACUCUCGCAGAGUCGUCUAAUUAUGCUGAACCAACAAAUACAACUAUAACAAGAACAGGCAAAUGAGGUGUGAGAAGGGGAUAAGAGAGAAAGAGAGCGACCCAGUCAGUGUAAAAGACGGCGACCCACGACAACAAAAAACGCAGCGAGUGACGAAGAACGAGUUGCUCUCGCCUCCUCUAUUUUUCACACCCUCCCCGACCUUUUUUUUGUGGAUAACUUAAAAACAGUUUAAUUUACUAUUUGAGCAAACGCGAAAUGCAAAAACAAUCAGCACACACAUCCAUACACAUCCAUACACAUACAAACAUUGGGAAAUAAAGAAAUGGAACAAAAAAAAAAUGAACGGACACAAAAGAAAGAGUGGCGGAAUAAAAUAAAUAAAAGGCAACUGACGUUUGACGACGUGUCGUCGUUUUCGUUUUGCGUUUUUGUUCGCCGUUUGCCUUCCUUGCUUCUUGCGCUCUACUCUUUGGUUUGCGCUUCGUUUCGGCUGCGCGUAUUUUUCGUUUCAGUUAUUAUUGAGACUAAAAAUGCGGCGUGAGAUUUGAUUGUGAGUAAGCGCAACGCAAAGUGCAAAUCGUCAAAGCGACAGCGCUGGCAGUGGCAGCGACGUCGGCAGAGUACGGUUUGCACAAAAAAAUAUAUAAAACUGUAGUAAUAAUAAUAAAAGACCACAGAAAAGAAAAUUCGCACAAAAUAAAAACUCACGAAUGACGGACGGAAAGCAAAAGACGAAAAGUUGAAUACCCUAUCAAAUCCUCAGUGAAAACUUUACAAUGUCAAAGUUCAAUAAAUAAAUGUCGAAAAUUAAUUGUAAA